Molecule: transfer RNA, 98 nt
Filed under: Desulfobulbaceae bacterium A2
Lineage: Bacteria; Pseudomonadati; Thermodesulfobacteriota; Desulfobulbia; Desulfobulbales; Desulfobulbaceae
Description: tRNA-Sec
Rfam family: Selenocysteine transfer RNA
Source: RNAcentral
GGAAGUGGAAAGGGCACUGGUGGCUCUCCCGGACUUCAAAUCCGGUGAACCGUCUGAACAGGGCGGUUGGUGGGUUCGAUUCCCAUGCACUUCCGCCA